GGGCCCGCACAAGCAGUGGAGUAUGUGGUUUAAUUCGAAGCAACGCGAAGAACCUUACCAGGGCUUGACAUCCCGCGCAUAGUAUAGAGAUAUAUGAAGUCCUUCGGGACGCGGAGACAGGUGGUGCAUGGUUGUCGUCAGCUCGUGUCGUGAGAUGUUGGGUUAAGUCCCGCAACGAGCGCAACCCUUGUCGUUAGUUGCCAUCAUUCAGUUGGGCACUCUAGCGAGACUGCCGGUGACAAAUCGGAGGAAGGUGGGGACGACGUCAAAUCAUCAUGCCCCUUAUGUCCUGGGCUACACACGUACUACAAUGGCUAUAACAGAGGGAAGCAAGGGAGCAAUCCGGAGCAAAAACCCCAAAAAUAGUCUCAGUUCGGAUUGUGGGCUGAAACCCGCCCACAUGAAGUCGGAAUUGCUAGUAAUGGCAGGUCAGCAUACUG
This 440-nucleotide ribosomal RNA is filed under the name uncultured Bacillota bacterium. RNAcentral describes it as "bacterial SSU rRNA". It matches the Rfam family "Bacterial small subunit ribosomal RNA", at positions 917 to 1359 of the family's 1533-position model. Lineage: Bacteria; Bacillati; Bacillota. The record is from RNAcentral.